This 929-nucleotide long non-coding RNA is filed under the name Carica papaya (papaya). RNAcentral's name for it is "long non-coding RNA (CPAP_LNC005197)". The record is from RNAcentral. Lineage: Eukaryota; Viridiplantae; Streptophyta; Magnoliopsida; Brassicales; Caricaceae.
CUAGCUGUGUUUUGGCCAGAAUAGCCGAGUAAGUACUGAGCUCGAAUACAUACAGCUGCUAUCUGAUCUCAAGAUGGAGGCCCCAUUCGAACUUUCUUGCUUUUUCUACCUUCAUCCAUCAUGCUCUCAUGGGAAUACGGGCCCAACUCUAGAAAUUUUUAAGCAUACUCUGAUACAGUCAUGUCACCUUGGGCCAGGUGCGCAAACUCCAUUUCUUUCAGAUGUUGAAGAUGCUCUGGGAGGUACUCUGUAUUAAAGGCCAUCUAGAAUUGUUCCUAAGUGACUGGAACGGGUAUGGUGGCCUACUUGAGUUGCCACCAGCGGCCUGCCUCUCCCACCAGCAUGUAGGUGGCAAGUAUGACUCAUUGUUCGGGAAUCACCCCAAGAAUCGUGAAGGCUUUCUCUGUCUCAACUAAACAGUACUCGGCCUCUUCAAAUGAGGAUCCCCCUAGAAAGGUAGAUGGAUUUAGUUUUUUAUACCUCUCAAUGUAGUCUGGGUCCAUCAUGUAAGGAACUGAGUCCUGUGGAAGAGGGACGGGAUUGUGCUGAGGAUGGACUGGAUAGCCCUGUGGUGGUACUGGAUGAUACGAUGGAGGCACCGAAUUGUACUGUGGUAAUGUCUGGUGAUGCGGUUGGGGCACUGGACUAUACUGUGGUGGUGCUGGGUAGUACUGUGCCUAGAGCAUCAGAUCAUACUGUGGUGGUGCUAUAUGGUACUGUGGAGGAGUAGGAUCGUACCGGGGUAGCUCAAGAUCCUCCCGUUGCAAGGGUGGCUCGACUUGUGGCAGCGGGAGAGGGUCAGGUAGCUCCCUCCUUUCUUUCCGGGUCUACUGGGCAGUGAUGAGUCUCUCCAGCAUUUCAAACAACCGGUCAACAUUCUCUCAAAACAAACCCUCUCGGGCUGCUUGGUUUAGUGGGAGUCUUCCUUU